Molecule: ribosomal RNA, 1149 nt
Filed under: Cellulophaga sp. Ss88
Lineage: Bacteria; Pseudomonadati; Bacteroidota; Flavobacteriia; Flavobacteriales; Flavobacteriaceae
Description: bacterial SSU rRNA
Rfam family: Bacterial small subunit ribosomal RNA
Source: RNAcentral
GUCGAGGGGUACAGAGGAGCUUGCUCUUGCUGACGACCGGCGCACGGGUGCGUAACGCGUAUACAAUCUGCCUUACACUAAGGGAUAGCCCAGAGAAAUUUGGAUUAACACCUUAUAGUUUAUUUUUAUGGCAUCAUUUAAAUAAUAAAGUUUACGGUGUAAGAUGAGUAUGCGUCCCAUUAGUUUGUUGGUAAGGUAACGGCUUACCAAGACUACGAUGGGUAGGGGCCCUGAGAGGGGGAUCCCCCACACUGGUACUGAGACACGGACCAGACUCCUACGGGAGGCAGCAGUGAGGAAUAUUGGACAAUGGAGGAGACUCUGAUCCAGCCAUGCCGCGUGCAGGAAGACGGUCCUAUGGAUUGUAAACUGCUUUUAUACAGGAAGAAUAAGGACUACGUGUAGUCUGGUGACGGUACUGUAAGAAUAAGGACCGGCUAACUCCGUGCCAGCAGCCGCGGUAAUACGGAGGGUCCGAGCGUUAUCCGGAAUUAUUGGGUUUAAAGGGUCCGUAGGCGGGCUGUUAAGUCAGGGGUGAAAGUUUGCAGCUCAACUGUAGAAUUGCCUUUGAUACUGAUGGUCUUGAAUUAUUGUGAAGUGGUUAGAAUAUGUAGUGUAGCGGUGAAAUGCAUAGAUAUUACAUAGAAUACCGAUUGCGAAGGCAGAUCACUAACAAUUGAUUGACGCUGAUGGACGAAAGCGUGGGUAGCGAACAGGAUUAGAUACCCUGGUAGUCCACGCCGUAAACGAUGGAUACUAGCUGUUUGGAUUUCGAUCUGAGCGGCCAAGCGAAAGUGAUAAGUAUCCCACCUGGGGAGUACGUUCGCAAGAAUGAAACUCAAAGGAAUUGACGGGGGCCCGCACAAGCGGUGGAGCAUGUGGUUUAAUUCGAUGAUACGCGAGGAACCUUACCAGGGCUUAAAUGUAGAUUGACAGGUUUAGAGAUAGACUUUCCUUCGGGCAAUUUACAAGGUGCUGCAUGGUUGUCGUCAGCUCGUGCCGUGAGGUGUCAGGUUAAGUCCUAUAACGAGCGCAACCCCUGUUGUUAGUUACCAGCACAUUAUGGUGGGGACUCUAGCAAGACUGCCGGUGCAAACCGUGAGGAAGGUGGGGAUGACGUCAAAUCAUCACGGCCCUUACGUCCUGGGC